GCCUGGAUUGCUCAGUUGGCUAGAGCGUGGUGCUGAUAACACCAAGGUUGCAAGUUCAGUCCCUGUAUAUUCCUGCAUUAGAUG
Molecule: non-coding RNA, 84 nt
Organism: Podarcis lilfordi (Lilford's wall lizard)
Lineage: Eukaryota; Metazoa; Chordata; Lepidosauria; Squamata; Lacertidae
Source: the annotation of a GenBank genome assembly